AUGGACCACGCAACAGGUGCCAUGGGCAGCCUGCUCCCCAAGCUCGGCGAACUCCUUAAGGAGGAGUACAAACUGCAAAGAAGCGUCAAGGAUGAUGUAAAACAUCUCGAGAGAGAGCUGGAGAGCAUGCACGCUGCCCUCCGCAAGGUCGGGGACGUGCCACGGGAACAGCUCGACGAGCUAGUCAAGCUCUGGGCUAACGAGGUCAGAGAACUUUCGUACAGAAUAGAGGAUAUCAUCGACAAGUUCCUGGUGCAUGUCGAGGGGCCUGAACCUGAAGACAAGCCACACAUGCUCAAACAAGUCAUGAAGAAGAUGGGCGGCUUGUUCACCAAGUUCAUGAAACGCCGUUCCAUCGGCGACGAGAUCAAAAGUAUCAAGGUCAGUGUUCAGGAGGCGGCUGACCGUCGUGAUAGGUACAGGGUCCAUGAGGUGGUCACUAAUCUAGUUGUUACAACCACCGUUGACCCUCGCCUAUUAGCUCUAUACAAGGACCAAAAAGAACUCGUUGGCAUUGAUGAUUCAUUGAAUGAGCUAACCAAGAUGAUGAGUGAUGGGGGUGGUGAUACGUCCAAGCAACUCAAGAUACUCUCUAUUUUUGGAUUCGGAGGCCUAGGCAAGACAACUCUUGCCAAAGCAAUGUAUGAUAAGCUUGAAGCACGAUUUGAUUGCAGUGCUUUUGUUCUUGUAGGACGCCACCCUAGCGUGAAGAAACUUCUCAACGACAUUCUCUAUGGAAUUGGCAAGAAAAUGUACCCUGGUUUGGAUGAAAGGCAGUUGAUUGAUGAAAUCCGAGUAUUACUUGAGAAAAAGAGGUACUUAAUCGUCACUGAUGACAUAUGGGAUAAAAAAACUUGGGAACUAGUCAAGACCGCUUUGGUGUGUACUAAUUGUGGAAGCAGGAUUGUCACAACUACUCGUAUACUCGAAGUUGCCACAAGAACUGGUAAAGUAUACAGGCUACAACCACUUUCUCGUGAUUUAUCGGAGGAUUUAUUUCAUAGAAGAUUAUUUGGGGGUAAAAUAAAUCAGCCUAAUCAUCUACCGUCAGAGGUAUACAAUAAAAUUUUACAUAAAUGUGGUGGUGUACCGUUGGCUAUAAUCACAAUAGCUAGUUUGCUCGUCAGUAAACCGGUGGAGCUUUGGUCUAAGGUAUACACCUCAAUCGGUUUUGGGCAUGAAGAGAAUGAAGACGUGGAAAACACAAGAAAGAUACUUUUAUUUAGCUAUUAUGAUCUCCCUUGUCACCUAAAGACUUGCUUAUUGUAUCUGAGCAUAUAUCCUAAAGAUCAUCCGAUUGCGAAAGAUAGUUUGAUAUGGAAAUGGGUCACCGAAGGUUUUAUCCACGAGGAACCAGGGUUAAGACUAUUUGAAAUUGGUGAAAGGUACUUCAACGAGUUGGUGAACAAAAGCAUGAUAAUGCCGGUAGAAAUACCUUAUCAUGGAAUCAUAACUGGUUGUCGUGUCCAUGACAUAAUGCUUGAUAUGAUAUGCCUAUUGUCAAAGGAAGAAAACUUUGUUACUGUAUUGGAUAGUGACGAGCAAUAUACAACUUCACAUUGCAACUCUCGUAGGCUAGUUGUUCAUCGUAAGGUCCGACCUCUGGCUAGCACAUCCACACUACAAGCAAGGUCACUUAAUGCCAUGUGCAGUCCUGAGAUGUUGCCAUCACUUUCAUGCUUUUAA
RNAcentral lists this ribosomal RNA (1686 nucleotides) under Triticum aestivum (bread wheat). RNAcentral describes it as "partial small subunit ribosomal RNA". The record is from RNAcentral. Lineage: Eukaryota; Viridiplantae; Streptophyta; Magnoliopsida; Poales; Poaceae.